GCUUAGGAAACCACCCCACAAUGGCAGGAGACACCAUGAGAUGUUUUCUACUGUAGAAACUUUCUCAUUAGAAAUAGCCCAUUUAUACAGGGGACUGGCUAAUGUUUUUCUAUGAGUAUCAUUAGCCAGUGUCUCAAAGUGGUGAAGAGUAAGUAUAUAGCAUCUUUCAAAAACAGCUGUUAAAGAGUAACAGAAUUCUCCAGAUUCAUUUCUCAGAUUUGUGGGAAAGCCUGAGUCAGGCACUUUGCAUCCCCCAUGCCUUUCAAACCUGAUGGACUGCAACCUGGAACAAGGAGAGACAAAGGGAAGGAGGAGUCUGGAGCCAUAUUGAAGAUGAAAUUGAGAUAUGGACUAGGUGGUGGAUCGUUUUUAUAAGAGGACAUAAAAGAGGAUGCUAAAGCUAAUUGCCACAAUCAGAACUCAAAGACCUAGCAAAUGCAAGGUGGUAUUUAUUCUAAACUCAGCAAAGUAGUAGAAAAAUAGUUUUGAGAACAGUUUUAAGGAGACUAGGGUAACAGUGAGAAAAUAGUUCAUGGCUAGUCUGGACUUAGGACUUUAGGGUCGGCCUGGUGAAUUGAAGGGAAGCAGCUGAUACACUCUGGUUGCCUUGUACCCUGGCUUUUGGUGCUUUCCCAUGUGCUGUAGUCAUCAGUAAUCUGGAGGAAAUGCUAUAGAGGCAAAGACACCAUUAGAUGGGUGCUCAACUAGCAAACAGGAUGUGACCACAGAGUAGUUACCCCAAGACCAGGUCAGCAUGACCCAAAAGGCAGAAGAGGACAAGGUUUAUGAGUGUUGGGCUGAGCUCACGCCUGCUUGAACAUCUCAAGAACAAUGUUAAUGAUGGAAGAGAGAGAUAGGAGAGGAAACUCAUUAAACUUGCCAAAUAUGAGAUGUAGCUGGGUUGGCUCUAUGUAAGCAUGGCAGAAAAGCAUUUAGAAGUCAUAAUACAUUUAAAAUAAGAGCUACCAGCAUAGCAGUGACAUGAAGAAGGCAUGUGUUUUGUUAAAAAGUUUUAAAUACUCCUAUAAAAGAUAGUAAGGUACAAGUUGUUUGCUUGAUCAGCAAUGCUAAUUGCCUUUGAAGUGCAUGCCUGGGGAUUCCAUGGAGAGAGGACCCUGUUUCUCCACCCCAACCCAAAUUCACUGAGUUUAUGUCAGAAUGUUCAGAAGCCCCUUUACAAAUUCCUCUGAUUGCCUUGUUAGACACUGGCCACCUCCCUGAACCUGGGCCAAGAUGAGGGUCUACACCUUGGCUUAGUUCUACUAUGAAAGACUUUCCUGCAGUAAAAGUUACCUGUCUGAAACAUUCAGAAGAGUGAAAAUGCCACAUCUCCAAUUUCCAGCAAUAUAUUUGUCUGCCAUGAUUUGGCCUGGAAGCUUAAGCAGGAAGACCACUUGGAGCCAGACUUCAGAGUGAUCUGUCUCUAAGGAAUAACUUUCAUAUUGCAGCGUUCGGUUUUGCAAUUCUUCCUAAGCUACUCUAAAUUCGCAGCAUAAAUCUGCAGAAAGACUUCACCCUCCACAUCAAACCCUUAUAAGGAUCCAUUUCUGCUCUCAUUUUAGAAUAUCUUUUCUAAUAGCUAAAGGCAGACAGAGGCAAACCAAGAAAUCCAGACUUUGCAUCAACGGGUUAAAUCAUAUGUCAAAGGUGCAACCAUAACGUAUUACAAGCUUCUCAUCACAUAAUACAUCACUCAAGAAAAAAUAUUUGGGCAGCUUUUCUAAUUCAUCUUCCUGGUGUUAAAGGAGCACAUCUCCAGUGUUCGUGUCUUCUGUUUCAAUUAAAGCAAUCAUGCCUACUCUUUUAGGAAAC
Homo sapiens (human) is the source of this 1812-nucleotide long non-coding RNA. NCBI's taxonomy places the organism in Eukaryota, Metazoa, Chordata, Mammalia, Primates, Hominidae. The record is from Ensembl.